GAUGAACGCUAGCGGAACGCCUAACACAUGCAAGUCGAACGGAUUCUGCGUUGUAGCAAUACAUAGUAGAAUUAGUGGCAAACGAGCGAGUAACGCGUGCCUAACCUGCCCUUAAGUUGGGAAUAACUACGGAGACGUAGCUAAGUCCCAAUAUGCUCACGAUGGUGAAAUGCCGAUGCGAGGAAAGAUUUAUCGCUUAAGGAGGGGGGUGCGUCCUAUCAGGUAGUUGGUUGAGGUAACGGCUCACCAAGCCUAUGACAGGUAGCUGGUCUGAGAUGAUGUCCAGCCGCGAUGGGACUGAGAUACGGCCCAUACUCC
Molecule: ribosomal RNA, 318 nt
Filed under: uncultured bacterium
Lineage: Bacteria
Description: bacterial SSU rRNA
Rfam family: Bacterial small subunit ribosomal RNA
Source: RNAcentral